Molecule: ribosomal RNA, 588 nt
Filed under: uncultured bacterium
Lineage: Bacteria
Description: partial 16S ribosomal RNA
Rfam family: Bacterial small subunit ribosomal RNA
Source: RNAcentral
UGGUGAAUUUUGGACAAUGGGGGAAACCCUGAUCCAGCCAUCCCGCGUGUGCGAUGAAGGCCUUCGGGUUGUAAAGCACUUUUGGCAGGAAAGAAACGUCGCGGGUUAAUACCCCGCGAAACUGACGGUACCUGCAGAAUAAGCACCGGCUAACUACGUGCCAGCAGCCGCGGUAAUACGUAGGGUGCAAGCGUUAAUCGGAAUUACUGGGCGUAAAGCGUGCGCAGGCGGUUCGGAAAGAAAGAUGUGAAAUCCCAGAGCUUAACUUUGGAACUGCAUUUUUAACUACUGGGCUAGAGUGUGUCAGAGGGAGGUGGAAUUCCGCGUGUAGCAGUGAAAUGCGUAGAUAUGCGGAGGAACACCGAUGGCGAAGGCAGCCUCCUGGGAUAACACUGACGCUCAUGCACGAAAGCGUGGGGAGCAAACAGGAUUAGAUACCCUGGUAGUCCACGCCCUAAACGAUGUCAACUAGCUGUUGGGGGCCUUCGGGCCUUGGUAGCGCAGCUAACGCGUGAAGUUGACCGCCUGGGGAGUACGGUCGCAAGAUUAAAACUUAAAUGAAUUGACGGGGGUCAUAGCUGUUUCCUG